Molecule: RNA transcript, 1908 nt
Organism: Brassica napus (rape)
Lineage: Eukaryota; Viridiplantae; Streptophyta; Magnoliopsida; Brassicales; Brassicaceae
Exons: 3
Source: RefSeq, a predicted model, not a curated record
CUUCUAAAUUCAAAGACGAAGAAAAAAAACAGAUGAAACAGAAGAAAAUAAAAACUAACGAUGCUGAACGAAUGGAGACAUAGAGAACAAGACCAGAAACCGAAAAAACCGAUCGGUUUGAAGCCGCCGAACCGAACUGACCAGGAAACCGAAGUAAAUUGGCAAAAACGCCGAUCGGUUUGUUGUCUCAAAUGUGAAUGAAACCGAAAACCGAAAACUUCGGUUCGGUCGGUCUGGUUCCAGUUUAGUCCGAAUGCCCAGGACAACAUUCUGAGUUUCUAUUUACAGCUAGAGUGUUGCUGUCAAAUGUGUCAGCUGAACUUGGUGUUUGCUGAACCCUAAUUUUUCUGAUUUAUUUUUUUUCCUUCUGGUCUUCUUGAACACAACAAAGAACUGGAUCAUCUCUUAGUCUUUCUCGUUCUUUCACUCAUGGAGGCUCCGUGAAUCCAAAGCACAGGCAAGCUCUGGAAGAAGCAUCAGAAGAUGGUUUAUUCGAGUUCCUCCUCUGCGACUUCGCCUCCGUGACUUCACCGGGUUUUCAUGUCACCGUUCCGCCUCGUCUCCGUCAGCCACGACCACCGAUGACGGGUACUCCUCCAUCAUCGUUGAGAGAUGUUGGAGCUAAGGUUGAGUUCUUGCCAAGAGAUUGUGUUCUGGGGGCUGGAGCCACAUGUUAGAAACCAAGCUCUGAACUGGAUUCUAAAGGUUUGACCUUUCUUGAAUCUGGUUUGGUCUCUGUUUAGAGUUCCAAGCUAUGGAGAAGAAGAAACCAAACCAUGGAGAAGAAGAUGGAGUUUGCUAAACUCCUAUCUCGAUUGAAUCCCAAUCUCCACUGUUUUUGAUUCAUUUCGACCUAAUUAAUGGUAUUUGUUUCGCGGCCAUUGUCUCUUAGCCACCGCCUCCACACAUCCUUGUUCCCAAGAUCAUCAGUUGUCGACAUGAAAGAAAGGAGGAGAUUUGAAGAUUCAGAUGGCAUCAUUCAGUUGGGGGUCGUCAUCUGUGAAGACUUGAGCGCAGCAAAUAGAGGAGAGUUACUAGCUGCAGCUUGCGAUUUUGGACUGAGGCUAUUUAUGCCUUCUUACGUCGAAGAUUCAAACUCUCUGAAUCAUGUGUUGGACGAGUCUACGACUUCACCAAGUUCAGCUGAAACCGUUUCACAUCGUUUCUGGGUAUUGUUUUAAUUGCAUCUUCUUCCUUCAUGUUUAUCUUUGUGUUCACUGGAUUUUUUACCUACUAGAGAAUUGGCCAAGCAGGUAAUGAUCUUAAGCAAGUUUGUUUUGUUUCUUUUCUUGAAGUUUUGUUGAUGGUGUGGUGUUUGCUGACUUUGAUGUAUAUGGUGGAGCUGUUGGAUUAGCUUCUUGUUGUGUAUAUGGAGGGGAUCCCUACCAGCCUCAGGAGCAUAAAUUCAAGAGAGGUGUUGACAUUGUAGUUGAGACACCUGGUCGCAUCAAGGUUUUUCAAGGACUUGGUUUCCCUUGAAGUAUUCGACAGUGACAAACAAGGGUAUCAAAAGCAUAUGUCGUGGUUUUGAUCUAGUCCACAACUUGUGGUGAGUGUUUUGUCAGAGGUUUUGGUAACAUGAGUCUAUGUCUACGUCUUUUUCUUAUUUUGUUAAUAUGAAUCCAUGUCCACGUUUUUCUUCUCUUGUCCACAUGAGUCAUUGUCCACACUAGUCUGUCCACAUGUGUAUGUGUCCAUGUCCACAUGAGGCUAUGUCCACAUGACUCUAUGUCUUCUUUUGUUAACAUGCCCAAAAGCUUCUUUUUUUUCCUUUUUUGGUGAGUUUCUUGGUAACACGAUUCAUGUCCACGUUUUGUGGUAUGCAGUUGUCCACAUGUUGACAUCCAUGUCCACAUUUUUUUUAUGUCCAAGCAUUUUUUAUAUAAUUGUUAAAAUAUAUAAAAUACA